Culex pipiens pallens (northern house mosquito) is the source of this 1315-nucleotide long non-coding RNA. RefSeq lists it as uncharacterized. Lineage: Eukaryota; Metazoa; Arthropoda; Insecta; Diptera; Culicidae. The transcript has 3 exons. The record is from RefSeq and is a predicted model, not a curated record.
UGAAGGUACUCAGAGAAAUGUCCGACAACAGCGACCAAAUAAAAAAAAUGACAGCUACAAAAUGACAUAAGUUUCAACUGAGAGACUCGGUAAAAAAUAACUGAGCUUUCAGUAAAAAACAAGGUUUUUAGCUGAGUACUCGGUAAUUAAAUUACCGAGUACCAAUAAUUUACCGGAAACUAGGGUUUACUGAGUAGCUCAGUGAAAUAAGUACUGAAGUACGGUACUUUCAGCGAUUUUUUACCGUAGCUCAGUAUAUUUCCUAAAUUUAACUGACAGUUCAGUAAAAUUUGAUUUUUACAGGGUAAUUUCGGUAAAUUUUUUACCGAGUAUUGCGUCCCUGAUUUAGUGUGUGCGUUUCGCCGUGAAGGUUCACAAAUCAAAAGAGGGCAGAUCUUGAAGCGCUGACUAUGUGGAGAUAAAAAGUAUAUCUCUUCUUCGAAAUUCCUCAAUUUGUUGUUAUCCCAGCUUCAUCUCGGUGCAACUGCACUUGCAUGCCCGAUCCUGUCGCUGACCUGCCCCAUCAACGCCGUAAACCGGUUCAGCAAGCCAAGCAACUAGCAAAAGGUACAACAUUCCGUCAGCAAAAGCCGACUGCAACUGAAUCCCAUCAUCAUCAUCAACAGCCUGGUCUGGUCUUGGCCGGGGCUAUAAAUACUGGAACCGGCCUUUUGAGGCGCAUAUUACAGAUGACCUUGAAUUGGGAGCAGCACCAGCAGUGGUGGCAACAAGUUGGUUGACGAUCGAAUCCUCGCCGGCGAAACAUCACAAGGAGCAACUCCGACAACCGGGCUUGGGCUUGUUCUCGACAAGGUUCGAAUGAAGUGUUGCUCUUGAUUGGUAAGUUAGGGUGGGUUUUUAAAUUGUUUUAUGUGUUCACAGUUCAAAACACAUUUUCUAAGAUGUUUUGUGUAAACAUUUCAUAAAAAUUAGUAUAUCUUUUUCUUCAUUAUUCAAUUCAUGCUUAUUGUUUGUUCAUAUCAAUAUACAAUUUUAUAACCUUCAUGCAAUGUGUAGUGGUUUCGAGUUCUUUUCAUAUAUCGAAGGUUAUUUCGUAACUUUUUUUCUUCAGUAGAUUAACUCGAUUUCUCAAAAACCCGCAAACUCUGUUCCCAACUUUGAAUUAAUCAGCUGUGGAAAGGUAGUCCACAUCUCAGCUUAGAAUAGUAACUUCACAAUGUAAUGUAACAACGAAAUAAAUGAAAAAAAGAAUUCCUAGCUGAAGACUAAUCAGGCCGUUGCAAAUAUUUAUUAAAGUUUAUGUCUCUCGAAUUCAAAACAUUUUUUAACAAGCCCAAACAUGCUAAAUAUGAUU